RNAcentral lists this ribosomal RNA (535 nucleotides) under uncultured bacterium. RNAcentral describes it as "bacterial SSU rRNA". It matches the Rfam family "Bacterial small subunit ribosomal RNA", at positions 355 to 907 of the family's 1533-position model. The record is from RNAcentral.
UUAGGAAUUUUGGGCAAUGGGCGAAAGCCUGACCCAGCAACGCCGCGUGGGUGACGAAGGCCUUCGGGUUGUAAAGCCUUUCUGAGGGAAGAUAGUGACGGUACCUCAGGAAUAAGCACCGGCUAACUACGUGCCAGCAGCCGCGGUAAUACGUAGGGUGCAAGCGUUGCCCGGAUUUAUUGGGCGUAAAGGGCGCGCAGGCGGCCGCGCACGUUCGUUGUGAAAUCGCCCGGGCUCAACUGGGCGGGGUCAGCGAAUACGGCGUGGCUUGAGCAAGCUAGGGGGCAAUGGAAUUCCCGGUGUAGUGGUGGAAUGCGUAGAUAUCGGGAGGAACACCAGUGGCGAAGGCGGUUGCCUGGAGCUUUGCUGACGCUGAGGCGCGAAAGCGUGGGGAGCGAUCCGGAUUAGAUACCCGGGUAGUCCACGCCGUAAACGAUGCGGACUAGGUGUCGGGGGUAUCGACCCCCUCGGCGCCGCAGCUAACGCAUUAGGUCCGCCGCCUGGGGACUACGGCCGCAAGGCUAAAACUCAAAUG